RNAcentral lists this ribosomal RNA (486 nucleotides) under uncultured bacterium. RNAcentral describes it as "partial 16S ribosomal RNA". It matches the Rfam family "Bacterial small subunit ribosomal RNA", at positions 30 to 507 of the family's 1533-position model. The record is from RNAcentral.
AUUGAACGCUGGCGGCAUGCCUUACACAUGCAAGUCGAACGGCAGCACGGGUGCUUGCCCCUGGUGGCGAGUGGCGAACGGGUGAGUAAUACAUCGGAACAUGUCCUGUAGUGGGGGAUAGCCCGGCGAAAGCCGGAUUAAUACCGCAUACGAUCUACGGAUGAAAGCGGGGGACCUUCGGGCCUCGCGCUAUAGGGUUGGCCGAUGGCUGAUUAGCUAGUUGGUGGGGUAAAGGCCUACCAAGGCGACGAUCAGUAGCUGGUCUGAGAGGACGACCAGCCACACUGGGACUGAGACACGGCCCAGACUCCUACGGGAGGCAGCAGUGGGGAAUUUUGGACAAUGGGCGAAAGCCUGAUCCAGCAAUGCCGCGUGUGUGAAGAAGGCCUUCGGGUUGUAAAGCACUUUUGGCCGGAAAGAAAUCCUUGGCCCUAAUACGGUCGGGGGAUGACGGUACCGGAAGAAUAAGCACCGGCUAACUACGUG